AACGCACAUUGCGCUCCCUGGUAUUCCGGGGAGCAUGCCCGUUUCAGAAUCAUUAAAACACCUCAUCUCCUGUCUUUGGAUGGGUCGAUGGAUGUUGGACGUUUUGUGUUCUCCGUGGCACAAUCGUCUUAAUGAUAUUGUGCAUGGCUCCAGCAAAAAACUGGCUGCUUCCCAAGGUGCAACAGAUUAUUUCUUUACACUUUGGAAGCUAGCCAACGACAGCUGGGUGGUUAUGUGCUCCUGACCCCACGACUGGGGAACAUUGUUCCCUUUCAAACUGGUCUGAAAUCGGGCAAGAAAACCCGCUGAACUUAA
This 315-nucleotide unclassified non-coding RNA is filed under the name uncultured fungus. Its description in RNAcentral is "partial contains 5.8S ribosomal RNA, internal transcribed spacer 2, and large subunit ribosomal RNA". Lineage: Eukaryota; Fungi. The record is from RNAcentral.